Molecule: ribosomal RNA, 253 nt
Filed under: uncultured bacterium
Lineage: Bacteria
Description: partial 16S ribosomal RNA
Rfam family: Bacterial small subunit ribosomal RNA
Source: RNAcentral
UACGUAUGGUGCAAGCGUUAUCCGGAUUUACUGGGUGUAAAGGGAGCGCAGGCGGCACGGCAAGCCUGAUGUGAAAGCCCGCGGCCCAACCGCGGGACUGCAUUGGGAACUACCGGGCUGGAGUGCCGGAGAGGUAGGCGGAAUUCCUAGUGUAGCGGUGAAAUGCGUAGAUAUUAGGAGGAACACCAGUGGCGAAGGCGGCCUACUGGACGGUGACUGACGCUGAGGCUCGAAAGCGUGGGGGGCAAACAGG